RNAcentral lists this ribosomal RNA (269 nucleotides) under uncultured archaeon. RNAcentral's name for it is "partial 16S ribosomal RNA". It matches the Rfam family "Archaeal small subunit ribosomal RNA", at positions 477 to 746 of the family's 1478-position model. The record is from RNAcentral.
CAGCACCUCAAGUGGUCAGGAUGAUUAUUGGGCCUAAAGCAUCCGUAGCCGGCGCUGUAAGUUUUCGGUUAAAUCUGUACGCUCAACGUACAGGCUGCCGGGAAUACUGCAGCGCUAGGGAGUGGGAGAGGUAGACGGUACUCGGUAGGAAGGGGUAAAAUCCUUUGAUCUAUUGAUGACCACCUGUGGCGAAGGCGGUCUACCAGAACACGUCCGACGGUGAGGGAUGAAAGCUGGGGGAGCAAACCGGAUUAGAGACCCGAGUAGUC